RNAcentral lists this transfer RNA (73 nucleotides) under Vibrio phage 1.081.O._10N.286.52.C2. RNAcentral's name for it is "tRNA-Arg". Lineage: Duplodnaviria; Heunggongvirae; Uroviricota; Caudoviricetes; Pantevenvirales; Straboviridae. The record is from RNAcentral.
UACGCCUACUAGGAUUCGAACCUAGACUUCAACCUUAGAAGGGUCGAGUGCUCGUCCAUUACACCAUAAGCGC